CCUACGGGUGGCAGCAGUAGGGAAUCUUCGGCAAUGGACGAAAGUCUGACCGAGCAACGCCGCGUGAGUGAAGAAGGUUUUCGGAUCGUAAAACUCUGUUGUUAGAGAAGAACAAGGACGUUAGUAACUGAACGUCCCCUGACGGUAUCUAACCAGAAAGCCACGGCUAACUACGUGCCAGCAGCCGCGGUAAUACGUAGGUGGCAAGCGUUGUCCGGAUUUAUUGGGCGUAAAGCGAGCGCAGGCGGUUUCUUAAGUCUGAUGUGAAAGCCCCCGGCUCAACCGGGGAGGGUCAUUGGAAACUGGGAGACUUGAGUGCAGAAGAGGAGAGUGGAAUUCCAUGUGUAGCGGUGAAAUGCGUAGAUAUAUGGAGGAACACCAGUGGCGAAGGCGGCUCUCUGGUCUGUAACUGACGCUGAGGCUCGAAAGCGUGGGGAGCA
Molecule: ribosomal RNA, 440 nt
Filed under: uncultured bacterium
Lineage: Bacteria
Description: bacterial SSU rRNA
Rfam family: Bacterial small subunit ribosomal RNA
Source: RNAcentral